AAUGAACGUUGGCGGCGUGGAUUAGGCAUGCAAGUCGAACGGGCUCGGCUUCGGCCGGGCCAGUGGCGCAAGGGUGAGUAAGGCGACGGUAACCAACCCCAUGGUCGGGUAUAGCCGCGGGAAACUGCGGGUAAUCCCCAGCGACGCGGGUCGUCGGCAUCGACGGCCCGCCAAAGCCCCGGCGCCGUGGGACGGGCCGUCGUGGUAUUAGCUAGUUGGCGGGGUAACGGCCCACCAAGGCUGUGAUGCCUACCGGGCGUGCGAGCGUGGCCCGGCACACUGGGACUGAGACACUGCCCAGACUCCUACGGGAGGCUGCAGUCGAGAAUCUUCGGCAAUGGGCGCAAGCCUGACCGAGCGACGCCGCGUGGAGGACGAAGGCCUUCGGGUUGUAAACUCCUGUCGAGGGGGAGGAAGGCGCAAGCUUGACCGAUCCCUGGAGGAAGCACGGGCUAAGUUCGUGCCAGCAGCCGCAGCAGUAAAAC
Molecule: ribosomal RNA, 485 nt
Filed under: uncultured bacterium
Lineage: Bacteria
Description: bacterial SSU rRNA
Rfam family: Bacterial small subunit ribosomal RNA
Source: RNAcentral